GGGGAAUAUUGCACAAUGGGGGAAACCCUGAUGCAGCCAUGCCGCGUGUGUGAAGAAGGCCUUCGGGUUGUAAAGCACUUGCAGUCAGGAGGAUGGUGGUGUAGCCAAUACCUGCACCAAUUGACGUCACUGACAGAGCAAGCCCCUGCCAACUCCGUGCCAGCAGCCGCGGUAAUACGGAGGGUGCGAGCGUUAAUCGGAAUUACUGGGCGUAAUGCGUGCGCAGGCGGUUUGUUAAGCGAGAUGUGAAAGCCCCGGGCUCAACCUGGGAUGGUCAUUUCGAACUGGCAAGCUAGAGUCUCGUAGAGGGGGGUAGAAUUCCAGGUGUAGCGGUGAAAUGCGUAGAGAUCUGGAGGAAUACCGGUGGCGAAGGCGGCCCCCUGGACGAAGACUGACGCUCAGGCACGAAAGCGUGGGGAGCAAACA
RNAcentral lists this ribosomal RNA (426 nucleotides) under uncultured Gammaproteobacteria bacterium. Its description in RNAcentral is "bacterial SSU rRNA". It matches the Rfam family "Bacterial small subunit ribosomal RNA", at positions 356 to 774 of the family's 1533-position model. Lineage: Bacteria; Pseudomonadati; Pseudomonadota; Gammaproteobacteria. The record is from RNAcentral.